UGGCUCAGGACGAACGCUGGCGGCGUGCUUAACACAUGCAAGUCGAACGAUGAUGCCCAGCUUGCUGGGUGGAUUAGUGGCGAACGGGUGAGUAACACGUGAGUAACCUGCCCCUGACUCUGGGAUAAGCGUUGGAAACGACGUCUAAUACUGGAUAUGACUGCCGGCCGCAUGGUCUGGUGGUGGAAAGAUUUUUUGGUUGGGGAUGGACUCGCGGCCUAUCAGCUUGUUGGUGAGGUAAUGGCUCACCAAGGCGACGACGGGUAGCCGGCCUGAGAGGGUGACCGGCCACACUGGGACUGAGACACGGCCCAGACUCCUACGGGAGGCAGCAGUGGGGAAUAUUGCACAAUGGGCGAAAGCCUGAUGCAGCAACGCCGCGUGAGGGAUGACGGCCUUCGGGUUGUAAACCUCUUUUAGUAGGGAAGAAGCGAAAGUGACGGUACCUGCAGAAAAAGCACCGGCUAACUACGUGCCAGCAGCCGCGGUAAUACGUAGGGUGCAAGCGUUGUCCGGAAUUAUUGGGCGUAAAGAGCUCGUAGGCGGUUUGUCGCGUCUGCUGUGAAAUCCCGAGGCUCAACCUCGGGCUUGCAGUGGGUACGGGCAGACUAGAGUGCGGUAGGGGAGAUUGGAAUUCCUGGUGUAGCGGUGGAAUGCGCAGAUAUCAGGAGGAACACCGAUGGCGAAGGCAGAUCUCUGGGCCGUAACUGACGCUGAGGAGCGAAAGCGUGGGGAGCGAACAGGAUUAGAUACCCUGGUAGUCCACGCCGUAAACGUUGGGCGCUAGAUGUAGGGACCUUUCCACGGUUUCUGUGUCGUAGCUAACGCAUAAGCGCCCCGC
This 841-nucleotide ribosomal RNA is filed under the name Curtobacterium sp. Its description in RNAcentral is "bacterial SSU rRNA". It matches the Rfam family "Bacterial small subunit ribosomal RNA", at positions 20 to 872 of the family's 1533-position model. The record is from RNAcentral. Lineage: Bacteria; Bacillati; Actinomycetota; Actinomycetes; Micrococcales; Microbacteriaceae.